GAAGCAAAAGUCGUAACAAGGUCUCCGUAGGUGAACCUGCGGAGGGAUCAUUACAGUGUUCUCGCCCUCGCGGGUAGAUCUCCCACCCACUGUUAUCGUUACUGUGUUGCUUUGGCGGGCCGCCGGGCCCCGCUCGGCCGCCGGCUCCGGCUGGCGCGCGCCCGCCAGAGGCCCAGCAAACUCUGAAUGUUAGUGUCGUCUGAGUACUAUAUAAUAGUUAAAACUUUCAACAACGGAUCUCUUGGUUCUG
This 250-nucleotide unclassified non-coding RNA is filed under the name plant metagenome. Its description in RNAcentral is "partial contains small subunit ribosomal RNA, internal transcribed spacer 1, and 5.8S ribosomal RNA". The stretch from base 1 to 53 matches the Rfam family "Eukaryotic small subunit ribosomal RNA", at positions 1779 to 1831 of the family's 1831-position model. The record is from RNAcentral.